This 76-nucleotide transfer RNA is filed under the name Anaerolineales bacterium. Its description in RNAcentral is "tRNA-Thr". It matches the Rfam family "tRNA". From Rfam's summary of the family: Transfer RNA (tRNA) molecules are approximately 80 nucleotides in length. Their secondary structure includes four short double-helical elements and three loops (D, anti-codon, and T loops). Further hydrogen bonds mediate the characteristic L-shaped molecular structure. tRNAs have two regions of fundamental functional importance: the anti-codon, which is responsible for specific mRNA codon recognition, and the 3' end, to which the tRNAs corresponding amino acid is attached (by aminoacyl-tRNA synthetases). tRNAs cope with the degeneracy of the genetic code in two manners: having more than one tRNA (with a specific anti-codon) for a particular amino acid; and 'wobble' base-pairing, i.e. permitting non-standard base-pairing at the 3rd anti-codon position. The record is from RNAcentral. Lineage: Bacteria; Bacillati; Chloroflexota; Anaerolineae; Anaerolineales.
GCCGACGUAGCUCAAUCGGCAGAGCAACGCACUUGUAAUGCGUAGGUUACGAGUUCAAUUCUCGUCGUCGGCUCCA